UACGAAGGGGGCUAGCGUUGCUCGGAAUCACUGGGCGUAAAGCGCACGUAGGCGGAUUGCUAAGUCAGGGGUGAAAUCCUGGAGCUCAACUCCAGAACUGCCUUUGAUACUGGUGAUCUUGAGUCCGGGAGAGGUGAGUGGAACUGCGAGUGUAGAGGUGAAAUGCGCAGAUAUCAGGAGGAACACCAGUGGCGAAGGCGGUGGUCUGGGCCGGAACUGACGCUGUAGAGCGAAAGCGUGGGGAGCGAACAGG
Molecule: ribosomal RNA, 253 nt
Filed under: uncultured bacterium
Lineage: Bacteria
Description: partial 16S ribosomal RNA
Rfam family: Bacterial small subunit ribosomal RNA
Source: RNAcentral